GUUUCUGUUGCAGCACUAAGUUCAGCUGUAUGUUACAAAUGGUUGUGUCUUCUUGUCUCCUCACAGUAAUAUAUUUGUAUAAUGCUAGUAAUACAAGGUUGGUUAGGAACUGCUGUCAUCCCUUCGUGGUACCAGACAAAUUUUCUUUAUAAAAUAAUAUAAAAAAGAAUAUACCUUUUCACUGAUUUGAUUUCAAGGGACUCUGAUCCUUAUGGCUUGACUUUCUCCAUAGUAUGCAUAAUUGAGAUUCCCUCUCCAGAAGCCCUAGACUCAGACAUUAAGCCCUGUUUUAGAGGAAGGAAUCCCUCAGAGGUCACUUACAGUCUUUCUCUCUCAAGUCAAAUGCAAAGGCUCAUUACCAUCUCACAAACAACUUACUAAACGACACAGUUCCCCAAACUUUUCUACAGUGGAGGAUUUAAGGCACACACUUUCUUAGCACAAAUGAAGACACUGCUGUCUUUAAAAAGGUCAUGACUAUAAUGAAAAUACAAAAGUGGAUGCUAUUAAAUUCAUCAAAUUAAUGUUAUAAGAAUAUAGCGCUUAAUACAGAAACAGUGACAGUCAAGUACUUUUCUAUACAGAGGGAUCAGAACUAUGUAACACAGAUCAUGUUGUCUAAAAACAUGCACAUCACCCUUUAUUACUAACACCCAACAAAACUUAAAAGCUGACUAUUUUGGACUAAAUGAGGAGUAAUAUUUAUACUAACUAUAAUAAAAUCUCUACUUUGGAUAAGAAGGGGGUUAAGUAAAAAUUAGGUAUUUCUAAAUAAAUGCAGCUUAACUAAUUAUAUAUACAUUUUAAAACUGUUAUUUUCCCUACAAAGGGUCUUUUUAGAACAACUUUUUAAGGUAUAAUACUGCUAAAAUGCUUUAAAAGAUCAAACUUUAUUUGCACUAAUUAUUUGCUUAGUAUUUUUUUCUUUUUUAGAUAGUGACACAGUAAACAUUAACCAGGGCUGUACCACAAAUUCUAGGUUAAUGACGUAUUACCUUCUCCCUUUGGAAGGAGCAAGGUUGGCUGUAAGACAGUCCUUUUUUUUUUUUUUUUUUUAAAGAUUUUAUUUAUUCAUGAGAGAGAGAGAGAGAGAAAGAGAGAGAGAUGGAGGCAGAGACAUAGGCAGAGGGAGAAGCAGGCUCCACACAGAAAACCUGAUGUAGGACUUGAUCCCAGGACUCCAGGAUCACACCCUGAGCCGAAGGCAGACGCUUAACCGCUGAGCCACCCAGGCAUCCCAAGACAGUCCUAUUUACUUGCUGGCCCAUCAUUAAGGAAGGAUGUGGACAAUCUCUCAAUAGCAGAUACCAAAAAAAU
RNAcentral lists this long non-coding RNA (1317 nucleotides) under Canis lupus familiaris (dog). RNAcentral describes it as "lncRNA (ENSCAFG00030009589.1)". Lineage: Eukaryota; Metazoa; Chordata; Mammalia; Carnivora; Canidae. The record is from RNAcentral.